UUUUUUUUUUUUUUUCCCCAAAUGAGUUCACAGUCACAGGUUCUGGGGUUUAAGAUGUGGACAGAUGUUUUGUGAAGACCACCCUUCACCUCGUUACAAUGGCUAAUGUGUCAACAAGAUCAACUGGAAUGUGGCUUCCAGUGUUUCCCUGAUUGAUAACUCAUCUGCUAUUGCUUUGGGUGAGAACUGAAUUGCAGAGCAAAGUUGUGUAAGCAAGGUACAAAGUGAAGGGAAUGAGCUGGUUUGAGGAUAUACCUGGAGGACAUUUUAUAGGAAAGACAAAUACAUGAAGAAUAAGGACAAUUUUAGGUAAUUACUUCCAUCAAUUGUCUGUGGGAGGAGAAAAGUGUAUUAGGAUACCCAAGAAAUGGAAAUAGGGGAUAGUUAAAAGAUUAGCUGUUCACGAUUGGGUCACUCCAUUUACAAGUGCAUUGAAAAUGACUUUUUCCCAUCUGUUGAAGUUGAAAGCCUUUAAUGAUUAGAAACAGGCAACUCCUUUUCGCUUUACAUUUUCUUAAAGAAACUCUUCAAAUUACCUUUAAGCUAGUUAAAUGUGGUGGUAAAAUGUGGCAAGGCUUUAUGUAUUUAGUCUCUAAGAUGGCACCCUCCCCAGCACCCCACCCUGACAUUACCACAGAAUCUGUUCAGCUGCCAGGUGAGAUGGAAGAUGUGGAAAAGCAGGGUUCAAUGCCAAGGAACUGACAGGAACUCACCUCCUAAGGGAAAUAGGCCACGCUUUGCAUCAUACCAAAAGGAAGGAAAUUCCAGGCCUUUGCCUACAGAGUACCGAGUUUUCUUCUACACCACAUAUGCCUCUUACUGAAUGCUUGGAUUCAACACGACACACUCUCUGGGAAGCUGCUUUGAAAGCCUUCAAUCUUCAUGGUGCUCAAACCUACCUGAUAAUCUCCUUUUGGACUUGUCAGAUUGUAUGUUUAUCAUUUCUCUCUGACCCCACAAGGAGGGUACCCCAUUUGUAUGAAUCACUACUGAGUUCUCCAGCACCCAGGACAGAGUUUGGCUCUUAAAUGUGUUUGAUAAAAUGACAGCCCCAGGUGUCUUCAGCAGCAAUGUAUGGGGAUGUAUAUUCAAACACCCUUCAAAUGUCAUUGCUUAAAAUUAAAAGGCAGUGUAAGAGGAAUAAAUUAAAUUUGUAAAUGCUACUUUAAAAAUAGUUUGAGUAUAUAUCCUCUUUGGAAUUUUCUCCACCUAUAAAUAUCUUCUAUGUAAAAAUGAGGAGGAGAUGUAGAAAGAAGUCUUCCUUGCAUUAUUUUCGCUAUGAAUCUUUCUUUUCGUUGUUGUUGUUGCCUCUGCUGGUUUUGAAUAGCGGUGCCAGAUAAUAUGCUAAUCUUCAAGUUGUAAGCAACCAAAAGAAGCAAUUCAGAUUUGAAGUUGUGGUGGCAGUUCUGCCUUUCCCAUGGGUAAUGACAGCACCAGGGAUGUAUAAGAGGGUGGGACAACAGCUAGAGGCAUGAAUCAAAAAUGACUGAAUUGUCCACUUCUGAAAGGUAGCUCGUAAUAUAAUGUUUUGCUCAUACUGGGAAAAAGAAAUAGACUUUUUGAAAGGGAUUUGAUUUUGUUAAAAUAAAGAUAAACCCCCCAAAACCCCCAUUCAAUUAUCGAAUUGGCAGGACCCCAUAUCGCAUGACAUAGUUUAUAUUAAAAUACUUUUAAGUACCGCAAACAUAUUUAAUGCUGUGGCAGCACCGCAAGUGCCUCUGUAAAGCCAGGUGUCCCUGGUGCAAGCAGAUAACACACUUGCCAACUCAGGGAUUGUGCCAAAUACCAUUCAAUAUUAAAGUGUCACAGCAGGGGAGAGAUAUCCAGACGUCCGUCUCUGCAGCUGACAUUCCACCAAAUCUUCUUG
RNAcentral lists this long non-coding RNA (1867 nucleotides) under Macaca fascicularis (crab-eating macaque). RNAcentral's name for it is "lncRNA (ENSMFAG00000064568.1)". The record is from RNAcentral. Lineage: Eukaryota; Metazoa; Chordata; Mammalia; Primates; Cercopithecidae.